GGCUUUUGCCAUGUAUUCUGGAAGC
This 25-nucleotide non-coding RNA is filed under the name Rattus norvegicus (Norway rat). The record is from RNAcentral. Lineage: Eukaryota; Metazoa; Chordata; Mammalia; Rodentia; Muridae.